UGCUCACUUCGGCAGCACACAUACUAAAUUGAAACAAUACUGAGAAGAUUAGCAUGGCCCUUGUGCAAGGAUGACAUGGAUAUUUGUGAAAUGUUCCUUAAAUCU
Molecule: small nuclear RNA, 105 nt
Organism: Sarcophilus harrisii (Tasmanian devil)
Lineage: Eukaryota; Metazoa; Chordata; Mammalia; Dasyuromorphia; Dasyuridae
Source: Ensembl